GUUUUUAUAGUUUAAUAAAAAUUUUAAUUUUGUAAAUUAAAGAUAAUGAAAAUUUAAAAACA
RNAcentral lists this transfer RNA (62 nucleotides) under Lasioderma serricorne (cigarette beetle). Its description in RNAcentral is "tRNA-Thr". The record is from RNAcentral. Lineage: Eukaryota; Metazoa; Arthropoda; Insecta; Coleoptera; Ptinidae.